This 468-nucleotide ribosomal RNA is filed under the name uncultured bacterium. RNAcentral describes it as "partial 16S ribosomal RNA". It matches the Rfam family "Bacterial small subunit ribosomal RNA", at positions 28 to 507 of the family's 1533-position model. The record is from RNAcentral.
GACGAACGCUGGCGGUGUGCUUAACACAUGCCAGUCGAACGGUAAGGCCCUUUCGGGGGUACACGAGUGGCGAACGGGUGAGUAACACGUGAGUAACCUGCCCUCAUCUCUGGGAUAACAGUCGGAAACGGUUGCUAAUACUGGAUAUGAGCUUGCAAGGCAUCUUGUGGGUUGGAAAGAUUUUUUUUGGUUGGGGAUGGACUCGCGGCCUAUCAGCUUGUUGGUGAGGUAGUGGCUCACCAAGGCUUCGACGGGUAGCCGGCCUGAGAGGGCGACCGGCCACAUUGGGACUGAGAUACGGCCCAAACUCCUACGGGAGGCAGCAGUGGGGAAUAUUGCACAAUGGACGGAAGUCUGAUGCAGCAACGCCGCGUGCGGGAUGACGGCCUUCGGGUUGUAAACCGCUUUCAAUUGUGACGAAGCGUUUUUGUGACGGUAGCAGUAGAAGAAGCACCGGCUAACUACGUG